RNAcentral lists this long non-coding RNA (2420 nucleotides) under Sus scrofa (pig). RNAcentral describes it as "lncRNA (ENSSSCG00035027266.1)". Lineage: Eukaryota; Metazoa; Chordata; Mammalia; Artiodactyla; Suidae. The record is from RNAcentral.
GUGAUAAACUUGACCAGCGCGCGCAUUGAUCUAGGAUACGCUUUAUCUUGGAAGUUACAGAAACUUCCAAAGAGCAGCCAGGGGACCGAGGAGCCCCGAGCUGGGCUCUCCGUUGCGCCUGGUAUACACAGUGCUGCCUCCGCUUCUCGGAGUUUAUGAUGUUUAUGAAGAUCCCCAACAGCUGGCUUCAAACCCAGCCCCUCCGAGAACCGUUUCCAGGACUCUGAAGCCCGCAUUUCAGCUUCAGGAACGGCGAGACAGCUGGCUGUCCGUGUCGGUUUGGGUGGAAUCGGUGUAGAGGUGGUGGUACCCAAACCAGCUCAGUGCCGGUGAUUUCCAACCAGCAUCUUUUGAAGGCACACUGUGUGCAUCGCCAUCAAGCGCUGAGCAACAGCAAGCUGCGGAUGCUCGUCGGCGAGAGCUGGAGGAGGAUCAGCUCUAAGUUGUAAUCUCAGGGUGGACAUUGACAUCAUCCUCUUGGACGGGAGCAGGUAGAGGAGAUGCCUGCUUUCAUUCCUCUUGGACAAUGCUUAGGGGUGCAACUGCUGGCCAUAUGGGUUUGACUUAUUCUUUCCCUAAGUCAAUCUUGGCCAGUGAUAUUGGGGCAGAGCAGAGAUAGCAGCAGUAGGAUUGUGUGAGCCGCCAGGCCUGAAGCCCGCAGCAUUUUACCUGUGCAACGCGAAAGGCUGAGCCUGGAUGGAGAAGAGAAGGAGGCGCCGCUCUGCGGAAUGCUCUCCGCGGCGCAUGCUCGGCGAGAUUUCGUGCCGGAGAACACAAACUACUCCGUUAAUUAAAUAGCAAAGGUCGAUGGAGCACCAUGGACAUUCUCUGAAGGCUGCUAGCCAGGAGAUUCAAGAAGAAAUUGUUAAAAAGGAGAACUAUCCAAACAUUGUCCUCUCCCUUUGCAGCCUCAACAGGAAAGAAAACUCAUAGAUGAGUCAGAAAUGCUCAGUGGAUAAUGGACCUCUUCCCUCACUCCACGUGCUCGGGUUGCGGCAACUUCAGGGGGCCGGCCUAUGUGUGGGCGAAUGAGGAGGAGGAGUCUAACCAGGACCAGCAGGUAGAGACCUCGAGAAGCCAAGCACUAUGAAAAACUAGGUCCCCGUCACUAUGCUCAUGACAAAGCCACUUCGCAGGGGAAAGGAGGAUGUGGAUGAUGUUGGAUGUUCUUCUUCCCCAAUCAGAAAGGUUCACAGCAGCUAAAGAGGAGGACACUGGUGGGAAAGGCUGAUGCUACUCUUACACUUUAAUGAGCUAUGUACAUGCCCACUAAGCUAAGGCCUUUGAAGAUAAAGGGAACGUUGGAUGUUCUUGUGUUUUGCAACACCCGCGUAAUGCCCAGGACAUCCUAAGUGGACAGUGGAUGUAAGACGAACAACAGGUUAUAUGAAUUAUUACCAAUACACCUACCUGCUUGAAAUACAUGUUGGAAAGUGUUAAGAAAAAUGACAUUGUCUUGUUUCUUUGAAAAAUAUUGAAAUAGACAUAACACUGUUUAAUCCGAAAAAGAAGAUGGCAAUAAAAACAAGUCAUCAGAAGGAACAACCAUGUGUAUUAAGAAGAUAUGGGGAUCCCUUUGCCUCAUCUUAUGGAAGUACAUUUGAAAUCUUGACUACCAAGCAUAAUACUCUAGAAAAUAUCUAUAAUGCAACAAAAGAGACUAAGAAACUUAUCAAAAGCUAUCUGAAGGAAACAUCAACAUCACUUUAUUUCAGAAGUAAGUUUUAUGAACUAUCUACGGAAUGCAAUUUAAAUUUUUUGAAAGCAUAAAGAAUGUGAACGUUUCUAAGGGGUUUUUACAAAUAUAGAACAUUAGUACCAUAAUAAAGGCAACACAAUAAAAUGAAACUACAGAUGGAUUUCUCUAACAGAUAUUGAUGCAAAAUCCCUAAAAUGUGUUAGCAAAUAGAAUUCAGCAGCUUAUUAAAAGAUUGAGAGAUACUAUUCAGGAGUAAUCCAUUGAAAAAAUUCAAAAUUUCAAUGUGUUUUUCCAUAUUAAUUACAGGUCAAGGCAGAGAAGCAUUAUGUUUGACGAUGUUGACAAGGUGCUUGAAAAAAGCCAGUAUCAUUCUUGAAAAACAAGUUUGAUAAAUAUGGAUGCAUUGAUAUUUAAUUAGCAACAUGGCAAUAGUGAAAUACAAAAAUGUUCCUAUUAAGAAAUAGAACAAGGAGUUCCUGUUGUGGUGCAGUGGAAACAAAUCCAACUAGGAACCAUGAAGUUGAGGAGGGUUCGAUCCCUGGUCUCGCUCAGUGGGUUAAGGAUCCUGCAUUGCCCUAAGCUAUGGUGUAGGUCAUGGAUUCAGCCCAGAUCUGGCAUGGCUGUGGCCGUGGCAUAGGCUGGUGGCUGUAGCUAUGAUUGGACCCCUAGCCUGGGAACCCCCAUAUGCUGAAGAUGUGGGCCUAAAAAGCAACAAAAAAAA